UAAAUUAACUUAUACAUAAUGCGAUAGUAAAAAUCGACUGUGUCCUCUUCAGAGAUUAUUAAUAUACCUACGUUGUGGUAUUACGAUUUAUUGACUUUUAGAACUGAAGAUGAGGAGUAGGAAUAUCAGGUAUUAAUGUAGUGAGUAAUAUUUUUAAGUGCACAUUUAUCAAAUAAAUAAUUUACCUUAUUUUUUAUUUAAAAUUAUUCUGUAUAUUUUAUAUAAUAGUGGGCUCCAAAGUUGUUAUCAGUUAAAUCAACUAUAGAAACACAUAAAAUAUAAGCAAAUAAAAAAAAACAAAUAAGAAAUAAUUCCUACAUUAUUUCAAGUAUCUACAACAUACCUGCUUGUAUAUGAAUCAAUUAUUAGUUUUACAUUAUGUAUAACACAUUUGCAAUGUCUACAAGUCUCUAUAGUGUAUAGGCACAUGUUUAGAUAUUAAAAAUUAAUUUGUUUUCAUAUUUUAAUAGGGAAAUACCAAUAAAUGUACAUUACAAGAAUCUACAAGUGUUGGCAUUGAUAGUUGUAAUAAAGUAUCAACUGACAUGUUUGAAAUGGAAAAAUUCAUAAAAGUGAAUGACGAAGAAGAAAAAAGUAAAUAUCAUUGUGGCAAUUAUCUUUUGAGUACGUAUUUUUCUCUCUUUUGUCCAAUCUCACCGCCUAAAUUUAUCCACACGCAAAAGAAAAAUAAGGUACAACAAAUUUUGGUUCAGGAUAUUUAUGUUAACUCAACUUGAAUUUAAAAUUUGAAUACAAUCUCAUAAUAAGAGUACGGAUGUUGUUUCAUUUGCAACUUUUUUUCCAUCUUUUCAAUUUAUUGCUAACUAAGUUUCAAAUACGUUUCAUGUAGUCGACACUCGACAAUCGUGUAGAUAAGAUUAUACUAAAACAGGGAUGGGCAUCCCAAAUGUACUAAAGGGCCAGUUUUUGACAAUUAAAAUCUAUGCGAGCUAGAGCAUAGCAAAAAGAAAAAAAAAAUUAUUCAAAGUAUAUAUGUAUUUAAAUUAGUAUUUAUUUAGCAUAAUUUGAAUUAACAGUAAAUAUAAAGAAAGGUUAUUGAAAAUAAUUAAAUUAAAUAAAAUAAAAAUAACACUAUUACUACUUGUUCAAUGUGACAUUUGUGACUGCUAAUGAUAACGCAGCAAAAUCGAUUACUAUUUCAGAAGUGGAAACACAAAGUAGGUGACUUAAUGUUUCAUCAGUAAGACAAUUUUUUUGCUUUGAUUUUAUAUGUUUCAUAUUUGAAAAUGUACAUUCACAAAUGUAGGUAGUUCCAAAUAUGGAUAACAUUUUUAACGCAAACUCUCAUAAAAGAGGAUAUUUGUUAACAGGUAAUUUUUUUCAAAAGCUUACAUCAAUAUCUUUCGUGGAUAAUAAUGAGUCAGUUUGCAACUCGCAUAAUUCUGAUUGAAGUGCAGCAUCUUGCUUUUCAAUUUCAACUGCCAUUGGAUUAUUAAACAAAUUUAUUUGAGGACGCGUAAGUUCAACUUCUUCAAAUCGUCUUUCGAAUUCUACAGUUAAUUCAUGCCAGUGGGUAAUGCAAUUUUCAAAAUUGAACUCGUUAAAAUGUUGAGAAAUAUUAGUUAAAAAUGCCAAUUAACAUAGAAAUUGUUUAUCAAUCAUUUAGUUUUCUAAAUAAGUGGUUUCAGUUGUACUAUUCGUUUAGGAAACUCAAGUAUUUCUUUUCUCAAAACAAAAUAUCGUUCGAGACACUUUCCACUACUAAGUUUCUGUAAAUAUGUAAUAAAAUUACGAAUUGCACUAUCAGUGUCAGUUAUACCCGUGGUCUUCAAUCAGUGGGUCGCGACCCAUUUUUGGGUUUUCUUUUUAAAAUAAAAUUAAGUUUGAAAAUUAUUGUAAUAUAUUAUGUUAUAAACAAUAUUAUAUAAUUUAUAUUCAAAAAUAUAAUAAUAUAAUGGAUUUCAAAUCACAGUAUUUGUUUUGUAAACUGGUAUGUUUUUAUUUAGUAUGACAUUAAAAAUAAGAGUUAACCAGGCUAAUAAUAAAACAAAUAUAUUAUAUUAUUAUCGUUAGGAUGUUGUCGCUGUGUUUAAAGAUGAAUAAAUGUUAGUCGUGUUAUUGUUCUAAUCAUAUUUAUGUAUCCGUUAAAAAGUUUUUUUUAUUUUUAUUUAUUUAUUUAUAACAAUACUACUACAAAGUAUUAAGUAAUUUUAGAUGUUUUGUUUUUUUGUUUUUCUACAAACAUUUUUCUUUAUGUAUGCCUUUUAUAGGUCGCGAAUAAUGUAUGCUUAAAAAAGUGGGUUGCCAAUAAUGUUCGCCUAAAAAAGUGGGAUGUGAGUCCAAAAAGGUUGAAGACCAUUGAGCUAAAAGACAUGUCACUGUGCAUCUUGAAAGUGAUAUUUUUUUAAAUUCACUAGCAAUUUUGUUUUAAUUUAUUGUUUCAGUCAUUUUUAUUGCACAGUUUUUAACAAAUUCGUCAUCACUCAACGAGUUUUUAGAUUUUGCUAUUUCAUUAGAAAUAAUAUAUGAAGCUACUAAACUGGAUUGUUGUGAAGUUGUUGUUGUUGUUGUCAUCACAUUUUGUUAUAAUUGAAGUUUUCUUUUCCGAUCAAUUAUAACACUCUCUCUUGCAUAUCACCAAUGUAUUUUUCAUAUUUAGACAAAUAAUUUGUCAUGUAAUGUCUUUUUAAAUUAUAUUUUUUUAGUACUGCAAUAAUAUUUAAACAAACUAAACAUUGAGGGUUUUUUGUUAAUAAUAAAUAAAUAUUCAUUUUCUUAUAAUCUGUUGCAUAGGCCAAUUGCCCAUCCCUGUACUAUAAUAUUGCCAGCUAUAAAAUCUAGUAAUGGUAUCAUAUUCUUAUUUUGAUAAUUCCAAGUCGGUAGGUAUUCAAUACAAUACAAAAAUAAUUUGUGAAAUGUGACUGUUUGACUGUUAUAAUCUGUUUUUCAGUCACUCGAUGAAUUUUGAGUGAUUGUGUUCUGUUAUUAUGCUGAAAAUUAAGCUAACUAUUUCCAUUUUUGUAAAAAAAAUUGUUCCUUUUUAGGAAGGAAUCAAUUCCAAUAGUUUUUUGUCACUACAAUAUCCUUGCAGAUGAGUAUUAAAUAAUAAUAAAAAUUAAAAAUUUGUUUAGUAUAAGAAGAAAAACCUUAAGCCUGGUCCAAAAUAAAGUAACUCGGUGUUUUCAAGUAUUGCCAUUUGUUUUUGUUUUCUUGAAACAAACAUUAACAUUUAUAAACAUGCUGUUCACAUCUUAUCAACAAAUUUGGAUGUAUAUUGGAAAGUAGAAGAGACACUAUUACGAAAAUUGGGUAAGAUGAUCAACAUAAAUAAUCAUUAAUUUGUGAUAUACCUAUUGUCAGGUGUUUGUGAUUAAACUUAAUAAAACUAUUUUUUUUUGUUCACAGUCCAACAAGUAAUGAUGAAAUGUACAACUUAUAUAUUAUGUACUGAGUGGAAGCAGAGGUGAAUAGUCUACUGCUUACUGUUAAGUUUUCUAUGUAGGGACUUCUACAUGACAAAAUUGUAAUUAUUUUUAUCAAUUCACCACCUGAGUGGACAGUUUUCCAUUUAAUAGUGNAAAAAAUUAAAAAAAAAAAAAAAAAAAAAAAAAAAAAAACAUAGGAAGCUGAAUGAGAAAAUAUAAGAAUUGUAUAAAUAUCAUUAAAUCAUAUUAUCAUAA
RNAcentral lists this long non-coding RNA (3641 nucleotides) under Cinara cedri. Lineage: Eukaryota; Metazoa; Arthropoda; Insecta; Hemiptera; Aphididae. The record is from RNAcentral.